RNAcentral lists this unclassified non-coding RNA (334 nucleotides) under soil metagenome. RNAcentral describes it as "partial contains 5.8S ribosomal RNA, internal transcribed spacer 2, and large subunit ribosomal RNA". The stretch from base 1 to 120 matches the Rfam family "5.8S ribosomal RNA", at positions 35 to 154 of the family's 154-position model. The record is from RNAcentral.
GAUGAAGAACGUAGCGAAAUGCGAUAAGUAAUGUGAAUUGCAGAAUUCAGUGAAUCAUCGAAUCUUUGAACGCACAUUGCGCCCGCCAGUAUUCUGGCGGGCAUGCCUGUUCGAGCGUCAUUUCAACCAUCAAGCCCUGCUUGCGUUGGGGUCCUGCGGCUGCCCGCAGGCCCUGAAAACCAGUGGCGGGCUCGCUAGUCGCACCGAGCGCAGUAAUACAUCUCGCUUUGGGCGUGCGGCGGGUUCUUGCCGUUAAACACCCCCUUUUUACCAAGGUUGACCUCGGAUCAGGUAGGAAUACCCGCUGAACUUAAGCAUAUCAAUAAGCGGAGGA